Molecule: non-coding RNA, 2537 nt
Organism: Callorhinus ursinus (northern fur seal)
Lineage: Eukaryota; Metazoa; Chordata; Mammalia; Carnivora; Otariidae
Source: RefSeq, a predicted model, not a curated record
AGGCGGACGCGCCCGGAGGCUGCCGCUGCCCCUUCGUGUGUGGUGUCGGGUGUUGGUGGAUAUUGGUGCUCUUGGGCUUUUGGACUCAGACUGGGACUUAUGCCACUGUUGCCCUGAUUCUCAGACCUUUGGACCUGGAGUGAAUUACAUUCCCCACUGUCCUCGUCAUGGGACGUAUUAGCCUAUAUAAUCAAUUCUCCAGUACUCUGACGUCAAUCAACUGGAUGUCCAACUCAAUUCAAUUUGGAUACUAUCUACCUGGAAUUAGUGUGAAAUCCCACAAAUUAAAGGGCCCAGUUCCACAAGACUGCCCCUACCUCAGAUGCCAGCUGCAAGUGGGGUACCCAGGUGACCCACACUUCUGCCCAGCCAACUACAUAUUUGAGGAUUCCCAUGACCACCCCCCACCAAGUUUGAUAAUUCACCAGAUAACUCACAGAAAUCAGGAAAGUGCUUUACUUUUCCAGUUUAUUAUAAAGGGUACAACUCAAGAAGAGCCCAAUGAAGGACAUGCAUCUGGCAAGAGGCAGAAACCAUUUACUUCACAGUCUUGCCGAGGGGAAAGUGCCUACAGCAGGCCUGGGGGGAGGUCAGCGUGGAGCUCAGCUCUGAGGUAACAACAGGUAACACAGCUUGGAUCAACGCUGAGUGUGCUGGAGCUUUUCUGAAACAGGAUGAGGGUUUAUGCCAAGGUCGGGUGAAGCCGGGCAGGGUUGAUGAGACCUUGCUAAAGACUAGUUUACAAUGUGUGAUACUGUUGGCUCUGCCUAGAGAUAUCUGGUUCUAACUUAGGGCAACUUGGGGAGAACAUGGCUUUACCUUACAUUUUUAUUUUGUUCUUUUUUAACAGAUAAUUCCCAUUGUUGGAGUAAUGCCCUCAUGGAAAAAGGAAACUGGUUCCAAGUUAGUGUCAGUUCUGGGAUAAUCAUCCAGGGUAGUAGUUCCUUUCUCUGCCUGGCUGAGGAGGAUCCAUCUUGUUAAUAGUCAAAGAGUACAUAUACAUAUAGAAGUGGAGAACAUGUCGACGAGCUGGCUUGAAUCCUUUAAAAUAUUCACACUUUUCUGUGACUGGCAGAAGGAUCUUCGCAGGCAAGAACUUAGCUGAAUGGUCCUAACGGAAAUAAAGAGGGUGCCUCAGGACUCCAGAAAAACUGAAGGUUUUUGUCCAUGUGACAUCCUUGAGUCCUCCGAGGAAUCAAUCUUAGAAUCUGUCUUAGUCUGUUUGGGCUGCUAUAACAGAAUAACACAGACUGGCUGGCUUAUAAACCACAGAAAUUUACCUCUCACAGUUCUGGAGGGGGGAAGUUCAAGAUCAGGGUGCUAGCCUGGUUGGGUUCUGAUGGAAGCCCUCUUCUGGGCUGCAGAUGGGCAACUUCUCAUUUUGUUCUCACAUGGCAGCAGGUGGACAAGCUGCUCUCUGGGGCUUCUUUAUUAGAGACACGAAUUCCAUUCAUGAGGGCUCUGUUCUCAUGACCUAGUCACCACCCAAAGACCCCCCCCCACAACCAUUAUUGGGCAUUAGGAUUUCAACAUAUGAAUUUUGGGGGACAUAGCCAUUUAAACCAUAGCAGAAUCUAUUUUGCAAAGACACCCUAAUGCCUUGAAAGAUGCAGAGCAGGACUAGGAGCAUGCUCCAGGAGUAGCAUAGCAGGAAUGCUAAAAAGGGAGAAGGAAGCUAACAUUUCCAGAGCGCUCACCAUAUGCUGGGACCCAUGCUGGCUGCUUUACCUACACGAUCUCUUAAUUCUCCCAACAGCUCUGUGAGGUUGAUUUAACCUACUUCUAUUUACAGAUAAGGAAGCUGAGGUUCAGAGAAGUAAGUUGUCUAAGGUCAUUUGACUUGUCUAAGGUCAACGUGGUAGUCCAUCUGACCACAGGCCAUGCUCUUUCCAAUAUAUAGCAAAAUAGUUGUGGGUCCAGAGACUGAUUUUAGAGUUAGAAGUAAUCUUGGAGUAAAUAGGCAACUACUACUAAAUAGACUUAGAAUGAUUUUUAGUGGUCACCCACUGCCAUACCUCUGCCAGGUGGCCUUCUGCUUUGGUUUUACUUCCAGCUACUGCUAAGGCAGGGCCCAAAGGGGCAGCAAGUUGAGGACUGAUUCCAAACUUCACCUGCAAGAAUAGAAAGAUGAGAAUGGGAGAAAGUAUGAAAAGAAGAUUAAUAGAAAGUGAAGGGCUCAUCUUGUGAGAAAUUUCGAAUAUCGUAUCUCUGCAAUAAUUAGUUAAUGUGGCUCAGGAAUAGACUCACAGGUGAGUAGAAGGGAAUAUAUUUUUGUGGAAGCAAACUCUAAAAGUUAACACACAAUAAAGGAAAUACUGCAAGUCACUGAGAAAGAUUGGUCUAUGUGUUUGAUAAUUUGUGGAAAUGUAGAUAGCUACAUAGAAAAAAAGUAAUGCAAGUCACAACCUUAUAUCAUGCCCAGAUAAAUUCCAGGUACAUGAGUGAAUUGUGUUUAAAAAGUGAAAAUACUAUAAGAAAAUUAAGAUUAAUAUUUAUCUGAUCUGAGUGGGAAAGGGUAUUUUAAGCAUAAAAUCUGU